GAUCUCAAAUCAGGUAGGACUACCCGCUGAACUUAAGCAUAUCAAUA
Molecule: ribosomal RNA, 47 nt
Filed under: Rhodotorula glutinis
Lineage: Eukaryota; Fungi; Basidiomycota; Microbotryomycetes; Sporidiobolales; Sporidiobolaceae
Description: partial 28S ribosomal RNA
Source: RNAcentral